RNAcentral lists this ribosomal RNA (225 nucleotides) under uncultured Anoxybacillus sp. RNAcentral's name for it is "partial 16S ribosomal RNA". It matches the Rfam family "Bacterial small subunit ribosomal RNA", at positions 1167 to 1382 of the family's 1533-position model. The record is from RNAcentral. Lineage: Bacteria; Bacillati; Bacillota; Bacilli; Caryophanales; Anoxybacillaceae.
GGAAGGGUGGGGAUGACGUACAAAUCAUCAUCGCCCCUUAUGACCGUGGGCUACACACGUGCUAACAAGUGGGGCGGUAACGAAAGGGUCGCCGAACCCGCGAGGGGGAGCCAAUCCCAAAAAGCCGCUCCCAGUUCGGAUUGCAGGCUGCAACUCGCCUGCAUGAAGCCGGAAUCGCUAGUAAUCGCGGAUCAGCAUGCCGCGGUGAAUACGUUCCCGGGCCUU